AAUUCCUGUACUAUCCUGUAACAGAACUGUGGGGACACAGGCAGAGAGCGUGAGCCGGGAAUGGAAAGACCGGUACAAGCGAGGUAGGAGAAGAGUUGGCAAAUCCGCUCUUUAAUCUGAAGACGUGAUGUGGACUGAAAAUAAGUAGGGAAGCACGUGAGCUGACUGUCAAGAAAAGCCGCUAUUGUUUGCAGGAUACCCGUACCGUAAACCGACACAGGUGGAUGAGGAGAGAAUCCUAAGGCCGACGGGAGAAGCAUUGUUAAGGAACUCGGCAAAAUGACUCCGUAACUUCGGGAGAAGGAGUGCCAGUAAGAUGGCCGCAGAGAAUUGGCCCAAGCAACUGUUUAGCAAAAACACAGGUCUAUGCAAAACCGAAAGGUGAGGUAUAUGGGCUGACGCCUGCCCGGUGCUGGAAGGUUAAGGGGAGAGGUUAGCGCAAGCGAAGCUUUGAACUUAAGCCCCAGUAAACGGCGGCCGUAACAAUAACGGUCCUAAGGUAGCGAAAUUCCUUGUCGGGUAAGUUCCGACCCGCACGAAAGGCGUAAUGAUUUGGGCACUGUCUCAACAAUGCACCCGGUGAAAUUGAAAUACCAGUGAAGAUGCUGGUUACCUGCGCCAGGACGGAAAGACCCCAUGGAGCUUUACUCCAGCUUGAUACUGGGAUUCGGUAUUGCAUGUACAGGAUGGGUGGGAGGCUAGGAAAUGGUAACGCCAGUUGCCAUGGAGCCAAUGUUGGGAUACCACCCUUGCAGUACUGGGUUUCUAACCAGCAGCCGUGAUCCGGCUGGGGGACAAUGUCAGGUGGGGAGUUUGACUGGGGCGGUCGCCUCCGAAAGGGUAUCGGAGGCGCUCAAAGGUUCCCUCAGAAUGGUUGGAAACCAUUCGAAGAGUGCAAAGGCAGAAGGGAGCUUGACUGCGACACCGACGGGUGGAGCAGGUACGAAAGUAGGACUUAGUGAUCCGGUGGUAUAAAGUGGGAUUGCCAUCGCUCAACGGAUAAAAGCUACCCUGGGAUAACAGGCUUAUCACUCCCAAGAGUUCACAUCGACGGAGUGGUUUGGCACCUCGAUGUCGGCUCAUCGCAUCCUGGGGCUGAAGUAGGUCCCAAGGGUUGGGCUGUUCGCCCAUUAAAGCGGUACGCGAGCUGGGUUCAGAACGUCGUGAGACAGUUCGGUCCCUAUCCGGCGUGGGCGUAAGAUAUUUGAGAGGAGCUGUCCUUAGUACGAGAGGACCGGGAUGGACUGGCCGCUGGUGUAUCUGUUGUCUUACCAAAGGCAUAGCAGAGUAGCCAAGCCGGGAAGGGAUAAACGCUGAAGGCAUCUAAGCGUGAAGCCCCCCUCAAGAUGAGAUAUCUCAUAACGUCAAGUUAGUAAGACCCCUUGAAGACGACGAGGUAGAUAGGGCAGAGGUGGAAGUGUGGUAACACAUGGAGCUGACUGUUACUAAUAGGUCGAGGGCAUAACCG
This 1468-nucleotide ribosomal RNA is filed under the name metagenome. RNAcentral describes it as "bacterial LSU rRNA". It matches the Rfam family "Bacterial large subunit ribosomal RNA", at positions 1434 to 2925 of the family's 2925-position model. The record is from RNAcentral.